CUUGACAAGGGCAAACCUAUCGUGAGGUAGGGGCGCAAAGCUACGAGUCUUUACAGUUUGUAAAGACAGUCGGGCCGCCAAGG
Molecule: non-coding RNA, 83 nt
Filed under: Natranaerobius thermophilus
Lineage: Bacteria; Bacillati; Bacillota; Clostridia; Natranaerobiales; Natranaerobiaceae
Also listed under: 1 other name
Description: c-di-GMP sequence
Rfam family: c-di-GMP-I-GGC riboswitch aptamer
Source: RNAcentral